Molecule: ribosomal RNA, 549 nt
Filed under: uncultured Glomeromycotina
Lineage: Eukaryota; Fungi; Glomeromycota
Description: SSU rRNA
Rfam family: Eukaryotic small subunit ribosomal RNA
Source: RNAcentral
UUGGAGGGCAAGUCUGGUGCCAGCAGCCGCGGUAAUUCCAGCUCCAAUAGCGUAUAUUAAAGUUGUUGCAGUUAAAAAGCUCGUAGUUGAAUUUCGGGAUCAAUUUAUUGGUCGUGCCAACGGUACGCACUGGUACAAUUGGUUUCUCCCUUCUGACGAAGCAUGAUGUCAUUAAUUUGAUGUCGUGGGGAAUCAGGACUGUUACUUUGAAAAAAUUAGAGUGUUUAAAGCAGGCUUUGGCUUGAAUACAUUAGCAUGGAAUAAUGAAAUAGGACGUUUGAUCUUAUUUCGUUGGUUUCUAAGAUCGACGUAAUGAUUAAUAGGGAUAGUUGGGGGCAUUAGUAUUCAAUUGUCAGAGGUGAGAUUCUUGGAUUUAUUGAAGACUAACUACUGCGAAAGCAUUUGCCAAGGAUGUUUUCAUUAAUCAAGAACGAAAGUUAGGGGAUCGAAGACGAUCAGAUACCGUCGUAGUCUUAACCAUAAACUAUGCCGACUAGGGAUCGGAUGAUGUUAAUUUUUUAAUGACUCAUUCGGCGCCUUACGGGAAAC